UUAAAUUGAAGAGUUUGAUCAUGGCUCAGAUUGAACGCUGGCGGCAGGCCUAACACAUGCAAGUCGAACGGUAACAGGAAUCAGCUUGCUGAUUCGCUGACGAGUGGCGGACGGGUGAGUAAUGUCUGGGAAACUGCCUGAUGGAGGGGGAUAACUACUGGAAACGGUAGCUAAUACCGCAUAACGUCGCAAGACCAAAGAGGGGGACCUUCGGGCCUCUUGCCAUCGGAUGUGCCCAGAUGGGAUUAGCUAGUAGGUGGGGUAAAGGCUCACCUAGGCGACGAUCCCUAGCUGGUCUGAGAGGAUGACCAGCCACACUGGAACUGAGACACGGUCCAGACUCCUACGGGAGGCAGCAGUGGGGAAUAUUGCACAAUGGGCGCAAGCCUGAUGCAGCCAUGCCGCGUGUAUGAAGAAGGCCUUCGGGUUGUAAAGUACUUUCAGCGGGGAGGAAGGGAGUAAAGUUAAUACCUUUGCUCAUUGACGUUACCCGCAGAAGAAGCACCGGCUAACUCCGUGCCAGCAGCCGCGGUAAUACGGAGGGUGCAAGCGUUAAUCGGAAUUACUGGGCGUAAAGCGCACGCAGGCGGUUUGUUAAGUCAGAUGUGAAAUCCCCGGGCUCAACCUGGGAACUGCAUCUGAUACUGGCAAGCUUGAGUCUCGUAGAGGGGGGUAGAAUUCCAGGUGUAGCGGUGAAAUGCGUAGAGAUCUGGAGGAAUACCGGUGGCGAAGGCGGCCCCCUGGACGAAGACUGACGCUCAGGUGCGAAAGCGUGGGGAGCAAACAGGAUUAGAUACCCUGGUAGUCCACGCCGUAAACGAUGUCGACUUGGAGGUUGUGCCCUUGAGGCGUGGCUUCCGGAGCUAACGCGUUAAGUCGACCGCCUGGGGAGUACGGCCGCAAGGUUAAAACUCAAAUGAAUUGACGGGGGCCCGCACAAGCGGUGGAGCAUGUGGUUUAAUUCGAUGCAACGCGAAGAACCUUACCUGGUAUUGACAUCCACAGAACUUUCCAGAGAUGGAUUGGUGCCUUCGGGAACUGUGAGACAGGUGCUGCAUGGCUGUCGUCAGCUCGUGUUGUGAAAUGUUGGGUUAAGUCCCGCAACGAGCGCAACCCUUAUCCUUUGUUGCCAGCGGUCCGGCCGGGAACUCAAAGGAGACUGCCAGUGAUAAACUGGAGGAAGGUGGGGAUGACGUCAAGUCAUCAUGGCCCUUACGACCAGGGCUACACACGUGCUACAAUGGCGCAUACAAAGAGAAGCGACCUCGCGAGAGCAAGCGGACCUCAUAAAGUGCGUCGUAGUCCGGAUUGGAGUCUGCAACUCGACUCCAUGAAGUCGGAAUCGCUAGUAAUCGUGGAUCAGAAUGCCACGGUGAAUACGUUCCCGGGCCUUGUACACACCGCCCGUCACACCAUGGGAGUGGGUUGCAAAAGAAGUAGGUAGCUUAACCUUCGGGAGGGCGCUUACCACUUUGUGAUUCAUGACUGGGGUGAAGUCGUAACAAGGUAACCGUAGGGGAACCUGCGGUUGGAUCACCUCCUUACCUUAAAGAAGC
RNAcentral lists this ribosomal RNA (1556 nucleotides) under Escherichia coli. Its description in RNAcentral is "bacterial SSU rRNA". It matches the Rfam family "Bacterial small subunit ribosomal RNA". Lineage: Bacteria; Pseudomonadati; Pseudomonadota; Gammaproteobacteria; Enterobacterales; Enterobacteriaceae. The record is from RNAcentral.